RNAcentral lists this unclassified non-coding RNA (227 nucleotides) under Hevea brasiliensis (rubber tree). The record is from RNAcentral. Lineage: Eukaryota; Viridiplantae; Streptophyta; Magnoliopsida; Malpighiales; Euphorbiaceae.
UAAAGAUAGGGAUGUUGACUUGGGUAAGUUCUUGGUUAGUGCAUUCUUUUACUAGUAUGUGUUUAUGUGGUUAAUAGCUUGUAGCUUUUUGGAACAGUCUAUAACAUUGACACCCUAAACGGUACUUGAUCAUAUGCUGUAGUUUGGUAGUCUUGGCUGUAAAAUGUCUUCCAAUUGUUUAUACGAGCAUUGGCCUAAUAGAUAAAUUAGGCCUUGAACUAUUUGGG